AAAGAAGCAGCACCUUGGGCUCAAUCUAUGUGAAAGUUCUUGGACAAGAGAUUUAUUUUGCAAAUGUCAACAAAGCUGUUCUUGAACAGGCAACACAGCUUACUACUGGAGGCAAUAUACCUGAGUUUGCAGGGGAAGCUCUUAAAGCAAAACAGAAUGGUACUGGCCUCCAGUAUGCCAAGCCCCUACUGGUGGCUGAAUUGCAUUACAUCUUCCCAUCAGUGGCUGGUGUACCCAUGGAGUACAGUUUUUGUGCUGCUGCAGUGGCUGCUGGUAAUUAGAAGGUCCAGGCUAUUAUUACACCAC
Long non-coding RNA from Carassius auratus (goldfish), 306 nucleotides. RefSeq lists it as uncharacterized. Lineage: Eukaryota; Metazoa; Chordata; Actinopteri; Cypriniformes; Cyprinidae. The transcript is spliced from 3 exons. The record is from RefSeq and is a predicted model, not a curated record.